GUCUUCUCGAAUAUACACAGGCACAUUUCAUCAGAUUCCUUAUCUCUCCGGCAAGCCGUAUAUGAUCAUGUAUAUACCUGAGUAUGCCGUCAGAUAUGUUCUCAAAGAAAUGGUGCAUAAUACAGAGAACAAGUGUGCUGUAAUUAAAGUUGAACGAUUCGAGGACACUUUUCCAGCGAACUACGAGCUUCUUGUGAAGCAAAGGUUCCUUCGCAAUCCUCCAGAUGAUUGCCUAAUAAAAUAUAGGCUCCAUGCGAAGACAGCGAGAGAGAAAUACUUCAAGAAGUAUUCAGAUAUAUAUGGCGAAGCUGUCUCUGCAACACUGUGCAAGAAGUACUACCGCAAAAAGUAAUAAAAUAAUAUUGUUUGCUUA
Long non-coding RNA from Dermacentor silvarum, 373 nucleotides. RefSeq lists it as uncharacterized. The record is from RefSeq and is a predicted model, not a curated record. The transcript has 3 exons. NCBI's taxonomy places the organism in Eukaryota, Metazoa, Arthropoda, Arachnida, Ixodida, Ixodidae.